RNAcentral lists this ribosomal RNA (628 nucleotides) under uncultured bacterium. RNAcentral's name for it is "bacterial SSU rRNA". It matches the Rfam family "Bacterial small subunit ribosomal RNA", at positions 167 to 810 of the family's 1533-position model. The record is from RNAcentral.
AGCCGCAUAAGCGCACAGCUUAGCAUGAAGCAGUGUGAAAAACUCCGGUGGUACAGGAUGGACCCGCGUCUGAUUACCCAGUUGACAGGGUAAUGGCAUUCCAAAGCGACGAUCAGUAGCCGGCUUGAGAGAGUGACCGGCCACAUUGGGAUUGAGACACGGCCCAAACUCCUACGGGAGGCAGCAGUGGGGGAUAUUGCACAAUGGGGGAAACCCUGAUGCAGCGACGCCGCGUGAGUGAAGAAGUAUUUCGGUAUGUAAAGCUCUAUCAGCAGGGAAGAAAACAAUGACAGUACCUGACUAAGAAGCCCCGGCUAACUACGUGCCAGCAGCCGCGGUAAUACGUAGGGGGCAAGCGUUAUCCGGAUUUACUGGGUGUAAAGGGAGCGUAGGCGGUGCGGCAAGUCAGAAGUGAAAGCCCGGGGCUCAACUCCGGGACUGCUUUUGAAACUGUCGGACUGGAGUGUCGGAGAGGUAAGUGGAAUUCCUAGUGUAGCGGUGAAAUGCGUAGAUAUUAGGAGGAACACCAGUGGCGAAGGCGGCUUACUGGACGAUCACUGACGCUGAGGCUCGAAAGCGUGGGGAGCAAACAGGAUUAGAUACCCUGGUAGUCCACGCCGUAAACGAC